UUUUCUUCUUGUUCUAUCUCUUUCACUGUUCGAAGUUUGCAGAUCGGUUUGAACGAUUGAUCGAGAAGAUAGGGUUCUAAGAAUGACAAGAUUUUUUUUUCCCCUAAAGUUUGGAUUUGGGACUUCUAUGUUAGGGUUUUGUUUGAAUUUGGGGUUUUUUGUUUCUCUUCUUUCGAAUUGUGAACUAUUGUGAUUUUUUUUUUCUUAAAUUGUGUGUGCUUAAUUAAACAAUUUAAAUUUCUAGGAUUAGGGUUUUGUUGAAAAUUUGAGGGUUUUUGUAAAUUACAGGGGUUAGGGAUUUGUGAUGUUACAAUAUUUAUUAGUAAUUGAUGUUCGCUGUUAAUGGAACAUGAUUAUUUGUGGCCACUGAUUUUUUGGGCAAUAUGUUGUUCAUUGUUGUUAAUAUAUCAUUGUAAUACUGCUAGUAAAACAUUUUGAGUUAAGAUUAGUUUGUCUUUGGAUGUGAUAAAGUCUUGUUCUGGCUUCUAAUACCAAAGAAAUUGGUUUUCUAUCAAAAAAAAAAAAAAACAAAAAAAAACCAAAGAACUUGGUUCAUCUGCAAUGGCUGGUAGUUGAAAUUGAAUCUCAGCUCGAUAUUGAAAUUUUCAGUUCAUUCGGAGACCAUUUCUAAAACAAUUCCGUUUUUUUUUAUAUACAUAUAUUUUUUGUUUGCUUUUGGUUUAUUUUUUUGUUGUUUGAUCUAAUAGAUUGAACACAAAAUUGCCUAAAGCAAGAAUGUUCAACAUGUCUGUCAGUUUUUAAUGGUGCAUGAUCCAUAAUUUUAUUUGGUACUCUGAUCACUUGUGGUAUGACUUGUAUGUUCGUUUAUAGUUAGAGCUUUUACUUGUCAAUUUCCAUAUCGCAAGCACAAUUUGCAUUGUAGGUGUUCAGGACUGAACUUUGUCGUUUCUUAAGUAAAUGUUGGUACCAGUGGUUUGUUCUUUGUUGUUCAUGUGAAUUUAUUUCAUAAUGUCAUUUUAACCUUUUUUUUUUAUAAAACCUUUUAAUUCAUUUUUAAGAAUUUAGAUUGCUUAUGUUAUUUACUUGUAUUAAACUGGACUUUUAGCUCAAAUGGUAGAGCAACUGAGAAUUAGGGGGUAUACUUCACAGAAGAUAGUGGUUCAAAUCCACUGAGGUCCAUUAAAGUUGUCAAAGACCAUUUAUGUCUGAAGUUUGUGUGUGCCCUUAUCUGGUAAGUGUGGAAAAGAAAGUAUGUGGGAGGGACUGCAGGUGGAAGUUCUUAUGUGGUUGUGUCCCCAAGGGAUUUUUUGGACUGCAGGCGAUGUGCACCUUGCUAUAAUUCUGCACUAUGUUUGAGGCAUGAGUAUUAUCAGUUCCUUAUAUUUUUGGAUUACAUACGUCAUUUUUCUGUUUAGCUCCGAAGGAAAUUUGUCGCACCCUCACUACAGCGUUAGCAACCAUGGAGUUACACUGUUCCUUUGAUAAAAAAAAAAUGUGUUCCUUGAAUCUCUGUAAUUGAUAUAAUAAAUCUAUUAUAUGGUGCAAUAAUUAGAAUGAAAGUUCUGUAAAUUUAUAAUACCUGGAAGUGUAAUUGUGUAGCCUAUAUUACCUUUUGUUGUUUAGGGUAAAAUUGGUAUGAUUUCAUGUUAAAGUUGCUCAGCGGAGGACUUUUAAAAGGUUGCUCAGCGGAAGACCUUUUGUUGUUUAGGGUAAAAUUAGAUGACUCUCUGAGUACUCGUGGAAAUUUAUGCAUGGUCUUUUAGUCUUUUACAUACGUACUGGACUUAAAAACAUGAAUUCCUUUUUGAUCUUUGUACUCUUAUGGGCUUUGUACAUAUGUAUUUUUCAUUAUUUCAUUUGUUAUAAUUUAUCAAACCGUAGUGAAGUGGAAAAUGUGGUUUGCCAUCUUUUGCCAAAGUGAUUAUUAAACAGAAAACUUUUGGCAAAUGGGUUUUGCCACCUUUUGCCAAACCGGUUAUCAAACUAUGGCAAAAUGUCAAAUG
This 1964-nucleotide long non-coding RNA is filed under the name Aquilegia coerulea. RNAcentral describes it as "long non-coding RNA (ACOE_LNC002066)". The stretch from base 1057 to 1140 matches the Rfam family "tRNA". Lineage: Eukaryota; Viridiplantae; Streptophyta; Magnoliopsida; Ranunculales; Ranunculaceae. The record is from RNAcentral.